AUUGAACGCUGGCGGAAUGCUUUACACAUGCAAGUCGAACGGCAGCACGGACUUCGGUCUGGUGGCGAGUGGCGAACGGGUGAGUAAUGUAUCGGAACGUGCCCAGUCGUGGGGGAUAACGUGGGGAAAAUUACGCUAAUACCGCAUACGAUCUAUGGAUGAAAGCGGGGGAUCGCAAGACCUCGCGCGAUUGGAGCGGCCGAUAUCAGAUUAGGUAGUUGGUGGGGUAAAGGCCCACCAAGCCAACGAUCUGUAGCUGGUCUGAGAGGACGGCCAGCCACACUGGAACUGAGACACGGUCCAGACUCCUACGGGAGGCAGCAGGGGGGAAUUUUGGACAAUGGGCGAAAGCCUGAUCCAGCCAUUCCGCGUGCAGGAUGAAGGCCCUCGGGUUGUAAACUGCUUUUGUACAGAACGAAAAGGUUUCUACUAAUACUAGGAGCUCAUGACGGUACUGUAAGAAUAAGCACCGGCUAACUACGUGCCAGCAGCCGCGGUAA
This 500-nucleotide ribosomal RNA is filed under the name uncultured bacterium. Its description in RNAcentral is "partial 16S ribosomal RNA". It matches the Rfam family "Bacterial small subunit ribosomal RNA", at positions 30 to 523 of the family's 1533-position model. The record is from RNAcentral.